Long non-coding RNA from Aethalodelphis obliquidens (Pacific white-sided dolphin), 608 nucleotides. RefSeq lists it as uncharacterized. The record is from RefSeq and is a predicted model, not a curated record. The transcript is spliced from 2 exons. NCBI's taxonomy places the organism in Eukaryota, Metazoa, Chordata, Mammalia, Artiodactyla, Delphinidae.
GCAGAAAGGAGCAGCCGGAAGCAGGGCGAGGGGGCGGGGCAGAGUGCUGCGCGUGCGCAUGAGGUCGGUCCCCGCCCUUCGGGCUUUCGUAGGCCGGCCGGCUCGCUGCUCGAAUAAAUCUAAUAAGAAAUAUAUACGAUCUAUAAGAGAAAAAUAAUGAAGCUCACCUGAAGGGCAUAAAAGAAGACUUCAACAAACAGGGCAACUGGCUACAUUUCUGAAUGAGAAGACUUGGCAUUAUAAAGAUGUCUGUUCUCUAAAAUGGAUCCCCAAAUCCACAAAUUCAAUGCCUUUCCAAUGAAAUUAUCAACAGCAUUAUUUUAGUGAAAUGGGAAGAGUAGAUUCUAAGAUUUAUAUGAAAGAUAAAAGCCUUAUGGUAAAGAAAAUUUUGUAGGAAAAUAAAAGGAAGGGAUCCCUUCCCACCAGAUAUCAAAAAACUGAAAAGUGCCAACUGAAAGAAUGUGGUAUCUACAGGAACGGACAGAGAGACAUCCAGCUCAUAGACAGAGCUGAGGCCAAGGCAGGCAGAGUACCAAGAGCCACUUUUACAUUUAGACAGUCUGUUGCUGACACAGGCAGCAAAAUGAAAAGGAAGAGAGAGAGAGAAA